This 293-nucleotide ribosomal RNA is filed under the name uncultured bacterium. RNAcentral describes it as "partial 16S ribosomal RNA". It matches the Rfam family "Bacterial small subunit ribosomal RNA", at positions 505 to 796 of the family's 1533-position model. The record is from RNAcentral.
GUGCCAGCAGCCGCGGUAAUACGGAGGGUGCAAGCAUUGAUCGGAAUUACUGGGCGUAAAGGGCGCGUAGGCGGCUCUGAAAGUCAGAUGUGAAAUUCUGGGGCUCAACCCCAGAGCUGCAUUUGAAACUCCAGAGCUUAGAGGAUGGUGAGGGAAAACGGAAUUCCACGUGUAGCGGUGAAAUGCGUAGAUAUGUGGAAGAACACCAGUGGUGAAGACGGUUUUCUGUGCCAAACCAGACGCUGAAGCGCGAAAGCUAGGGGAGCAAACAGGAUUAGAAACCCGCGUAGUCC